This 1529-nucleotide ribosomal RNA is filed under the name Lacticaseibacillus casei. Its description in RNAcentral is "bacterial SSU rRNA". It matches the Rfam family "Bacterial small subunit ribosomal RNA". The record is from RNAcentral. Lineage: Bacteria; Bacillati; Bacillota; Bacilli; Lactobacillales; Lactobacillaceae.
GCGUCUUGGGUAGCUCUACAUGCAGUCGACGAGUUCUCGUUGAUGAUCGGUGCUUGCACCGAGAUUCAACAUGGAACGAGUGGCGGACGGGUGAGUAACACGUGGGUAACCUGCCCUUAAGUGGGGGAUAACAUUUGGAAACAGAUGCUAAUACCGCAUAGAUCCAAGAACCGCAUGGUUCUUGGCUGAAAGAUGGCGUAAGCUAUCGCUUUUGGAUGGACCCGCGGCGUAUUAGCUAGUUGGUGAGGUAAUGGCUCACCAAGGCGAUGAUACGUAGCCGAACUGAGAGGUUGAUCGGCCACAUUGGGACUGAGACACGGCCCAAACUCCUACGGGAGGCAGCAGUAGGGAAUCUUCCACAAUGGACGCAAGUCUGAUGGAGCAACGCCGCGUGAGUGAAGAAGGCUUUCGGGUCGUAAAACUCUGUUGUUGGAGAAGAAUGGUCGGCAGAGUAACUGUUGUCGGCGUGACGGUAUCCAACCAGAAAGCCACGGCUAACUACGUGCCAGCAGCCGCGGUAAUACGUAGGUGGCAAGCGUUAUCCGGAUUUAUUGGGCGUAAAGCGAGCGCAGGCGGUUUUUUAAGUCUGAUGUGAAAGCCCUCGGCUUAACCGAGGAAGCGCAUCGGAAACUGGGAAACUUGAGUGCAGAAGAGGACAGUGGAACUCCAUGUGUAGCGGUGAAAUGCGUAGAUAUAUGGAAGAACACCAGUGGCGAAGGCGGCUGUCUGGUCUGUAACUGACGCUGAGGCUCGAAAGCAUGGGUAGCGAACAGGAUUAGAUACCCUGGUAGUCCAUGCCGUAAACGAUGAAUGCUAGGUGUUGGAGGGUUUCCGCCCUUCAGUGCCGCAGCUAACGCAUUAAGCAUUCCGCCUGGGGAGUACGACCGCAAGGUUGAAACUCAAAGGAAUUGACGGGGGCCCGCACAAGCGGGUGGAGCAUGUGGGUUUAAAAGCGGUGGAGCAUGUGGUUUAAUUCGAAGCAACGCGAAGAACCUUACCAGGUCUUGACAUCUUUUGAUCACCUGAGAGAUCAGGUUUCCCCUUCGGGGGCAAAAUGACAGGUGGUGCAUGGUUGUCGUCAGCUCGUGUCGUGAGAUGUUGGGUUAAGUCCCGCAACGAGCGCAACCCUUAUGACUAGUUGCCAGCAUUUAGUUGGGCACUCUAGUAAGACUGCCGGUGACAAACCGGAGGAAGGUGGGGAUGACGUCAAAUCAUCAUGCCCCUUAUGACCUGGGCUACACACGUGCUACAAUGGAUGGUACAACGAGUUGCGAGACCGCGAGGUCAAGCUAAUCUCUUAAAGCCAUUCUCAGUUCGGACUGUAGGCUGCAACUCGCCUACACGAAGUCGGAAUCGCUAGUAAUCGCGGAUCAGCACGCCGCGGUGAAUACGUUCCCGGGCCUUGUACACACCGCCCGUCACACCAUGAGAGUUUGUAACACCCGAAGCCGGUGGCGUAACCCUUUUAGGGAGCGAGCCGUCUAAGGUGGGACAAAUGAUAAGGGUGAAGUCGUAGCGAGAGGUCAGCC